Long non-coding RNA from Bombyx mori (domestic silkworm), 397 nucleotides. RefSeq lists it as uncharacterized. The transcript is spliced from 2 exons. Lineage: Eukaryota; Metazoa; Arthropoda; Insecta; Lepidoptera; Bombycidae. The record is from RefSeq and is a predicted model, not a curated record.
AACUUCGAUCAACAAUAGUAACUAGAUUUCGGGUCGGUGCAUAAAAUCCGUCUCGUCAAAUAACAGCGCACUUGAAAUGUGAGCUCUUAUUUUGUUUAGUUCACUUCAAACACAGCCAAUGUCAACCCGUCUCACAAUACCGCAGUGUGUAUUCAAAAGUUGCAAAAAUAAGGCCCGAAAAAGCAAUUUAACGGCCGGAGUAUCUUACUUUCGCUUUCCUAGCAAUCACGUGUGCAGAAUGGAUCUCGAUUGUCGCCAGAGAAACAAGAGAUGACUUUUAUAAGCCAGCUAAGAACUCCGCUUAUUGACACUGGACAUCUUUGCCUUCCGUGCUCACGGCUACUGAAAUGUGGCCGAAACAUUAUAAUAAAAAUACCACGCUUGAAACCGUUUAAAA